This 65-nucleotide transfer RNA is filed under the name Alosa alosa (allis shad). RNAcentral describes it as "tRNA-Glu". The record is from RNAcentral. Lineage: Eukaryota; Metazoa; Chordata; Actinopteri; Clupeiformes; Clupeidae.
UCCCUGGUGGUCUAGUGGUUAGGAUUCAGCGCCCUCACCGCUGCGGCCGAUUCCCGGUCAGGAAA